Molecule: ribosomal RNA, 497 nt
Filed under: uncultured bacterium
Lineage: Bacteria
Description: partial 16S ribosomal RNA
Rfam family: Bacterial small subunit ribosomal RNA
Source: RNAcentral
GAUGAACGCUGGCGGCGUGCCUAAUACAUGCAAGUCGAGCGAACAGACGAGGAGCUUGCUCCUCUGACGUUAGCGGCGGACGGGUGAGUAACACGUGUAACACCUACCUAUCAGACUGGGAUCACUUCGGGAAACCGGAGCUAAUACCGUAUAAUAUAUUGAACCGCAUGGUUCAAUAGUGAAAGACGGUCUUGCUGUCACUUAUAGAUGGAUCCCCGCCGCAUUAGCUAGUUGGUAAGGUAACGGCUUACCAAGGCAACGAUGCGUAGCCGACCGGUGAGGGUGAUCGGCCACACUGGAGCGUGGACACGGUCCAGACUCCUACGGGAGGCAGCAGUAGGGAAUCGUCCGCAAUGGGCGAAAGCCUGACGGAGCAACGCCGCGUGAGUGAUGAAGGUCUUCGGAGCGUAAAGCUCUGUUAUUAGGUAAGAACAAAUGUGUAAGUAACUAUGCACGUCUUGACGGUACCUAAUCAGAAAGCCACGGCUAACUACGUG